This 77-nucleotide transfer RNA is filed under the name Methanomassiliicoccales archaeon. RNAcentral describes it as "tRNA-Pro". It matches the Rfam family "tRNA". Rfam says of the family: Transfer RNA (tRNA) molecules are approximately 80 nucleotides in length. Their secondary structure includes four short double-helical elements and three loops (D, anti-codon, and T loops). Lineage: Archaea; Methanobacteriati; Thermoplasmatota; Thermoplasmata; Methanomassiliicoccales. The record is from RNAcentral.
GGGUCUGUGGGCUAGCUUGGUUAAACUCCGUGGUUCGGGACCACGGGUCUCCGGUUCAAAUCCGGACAGACCCACCA